UCCGGGCGGACGCCGAGUCCUGCCGCCGUUCCGGAUGUCUGGUCGACAGGAGUGGAUCGGCAGGAGUGGAGGACCCGAGCAGUACGGGACGGCAGCGUGUUCAUGCGUGAACCGUCUCUUGGGGUGAAGCCGCUGACGCGGCCGGGCAUCUUCGCCUGUCCGAACCCGACAGGUCAUCCUUCACAGGCGGCUGACGAAGGGUUG
RNAcentral lists this small RNA (204 nucleotides) under Streptomyces sp. RNAcentral describes it as "c-di-AMP sequence". It matches the Rfam family "c-di-AMP riboswitch aptamer (ydaO/yuaA leader)". From Rfam's summary of the family: This family represents a conserved RNA structure found upstream of the ydaO and yuaA genes in Bacillus subtilis and related genes in other bacteria. Lineage: Bacteria; Bacillati; Actinomycetota; Actinomycetes; Kitasatosporales; Streptomycetaceae. The record is from RNAcentral.